RNAcentral lists this transfer RNA (67 nucleotides) under Cheirotonus jansoni. Its description in RNAcentral is "tRNA-His". It matches the Rfam family "tRNA". From Rfam's summary of the family: Transfer RNA (tRNA) molecules are approximately 80 nucleotides in length. Their secondary structure includes four short double-helical elements and three loops (D, anti-codon, and T loops). Further hydrogen bonds mediate the characteristic L-shaped molecular structure. tRNAs have two regions of fundamental functional importance: the anti-codon, which is responsible for specific mRNA codon recognition, and the 3' end, to which the tRNAs corresponding amino acid is attached (by aminoacyl-tRNA synthetases). tRNAs cope with the degeneracy of the genetic code in two manners: having more than one tRNA (with a specific anti-codon) for a particular amino acid; and 'wobble' base-pairing, i.e. permitting non-standard base-pairing at the 3rd anti-codon position. Lineage: Eukaryota; Metazoa; Arthropoda; Insecta; Coleoptera; Scarabaeidae. The record is from RNAcentral.
AUUUAAAUAGUUUAAUGGAUAAAAUUUUAGUUUGUGGGACUAAGGAUGUAUUAAUAUACUUUAAAUA